Molecule: ribosomal RNA, 475 nt
Filed under: Saulea vitrea
Lineage: Eukaryota; Metazoa; Mollusca; Gastropoda; Architaenioglossa; Ampullariidae
Description: partial 16S ribosomal RNA
Rfam family: Bacterial large subunit ribosomal RNA
Source: RNAcentral
GAGAGUCUAGUCUGCUCGAUGAUGUAUAUUUAAUGGCCGCAGUAUUUUGACUGUGCAAAGGUAGCAUAAUCAUUUGCCUUAUAAUUGAAGGCUGGAAUGAACGGCUGCAUGUGGUUAAUCUGUCUUUUGUUAAAUAAAAUGAAAUUAAUUUAUAAAUGAAAAAGUUUAUAUAUAAUUAAAAGACAAGAAGACCCUAUUGAGCUUUAGAGAUUUCGUGAAAGUUUAUGAUGUAUUUUGAUAAGAUUAUAAUUUUUAGAUGUCUUUGGUUGGGGCGACCCUGGAAUAGAUAAAACUUCCAGGUUGUAAUAGUUGCUUAUUGGCUUUGAUCCAGAAGUUUUUGAUUAACAGAAUUAGUUACCAUAGGGAUAACAGCAUAAUCUUUUUUAAGAGUUCUUAUCGAAAAAAAGGGUUGUGACCUCGAUGUUGGAUUAGAAUAUCCUAAGGGUGGAGAAGUUCUUAAGGGUUAGUCUGUUCG